This 439-nucleotide ribosomal RNA is filed under the name uncultured bacterium. RNAcentral's name for it is "partial 16S ribosomal RNA". It matches the Rfam family "Bacterial small subunit ribosomal RNA", at positions 339 to 795 of the family's 1533-position model. The record is from RNAcentral.
CUACGGGGUGCUCCAGUGAGGAAUAUUGCACAAUGGGGGGAACCCUGAUGCAGCAACGCCGCGUGGAGGAUGACGCAUUUCGGUGUGUAAACUCCUUUUAUAUGUCAAGAAAAUGACGGUAGCAUAUGAAUAAGCACCGGCUAACUCCGUGCCAGCGGCCGCGGUAAUACGGAGGGUGCAAGCGUUACUCGGAAUCACUGGGCGUAAAGGACGCGUAGGCGGGUUGGAAAGUCAGGUGUGAAAUCCUACAGCUUAACUGUAGAACUGCACUUGAAACUUCUAAUCUAGAGUAUGGGAGGGGGAGGUGGAAUUAGUGGUGUAGGGGUAAAAUCCGUAGAUAUCACUAGGAAUACCUAAAGCGAAGGCGAUCUCCUGGAACAUUACUGACGCUAAGGCGUGAGAGCGUGGGGAGCAAACAGGAUUAGAUACCCCCGUAGUC